GCCCCGGUGGUGUAAGGGCUAACAUACAGGCCUGUCGAGCCUGUGAUCCGGGUUCGAGUCCCGGCCGGGGCG
RNAcentral lists this transfer RNA (72 nucleotides) under Microcaldota archaeon. RNAcentral describes it as "tRNA-Asp". It matches the Rfam family "tRNA". Rfam says of the family: Transfer RNA (tRNA) molecules are approximately 80 nucleotides in length. Their secondary structure includes four short double-helical elements and three loops (D, anti-codon, and T loops). The record is from RNAcentral. Lineage: Archaea; Nanobdellati; Microcaldota.